Molecule: non-coding RNA, 180 nt
Filed under: Desulfobulbus propionicus
Lineage: Bacteria; Pseudomonadati; Thermodesulfobacteriota; Desulfobulbia; Desulfobulbales; Desulfobulbaceae
Also listed under: 1 other name
Source: RNAcentral
AAGGAUUAUACAUUUUCAGGCUCCGCAAGGAUGAAAAGGGAACCCCGUGAGAAUCGGGGACGGGCCCGCCGCUGUAUCCGGGGACGAACGCUGCAUGAUGUCACUGACCAAAAGGUUGGGAAGGCGCAGCAAGUAGGUUGAUCCGGAAGUCAGAAGACCUGCCUGAAAAGAUGACUAGCG